This 76-nucleotide transfer RNA is filed under the name Jiangella alba. Its description in RNAcentral is "tRNA_Ala_CGC". It matches the Rfam family "tRNA". Rfam says of the family: Transfer RNA (tRNA) molecules are approximately 80 nucleotides in length. Their secondary structure includes four short double-helical elements and three loops (D, anti-codon, and T loops). The record is from RNAcentral. Lineage: Bacteria; Bacillati; Actinomycetota; Actinomycetes; Jiangellales; Jiangellaceae. RNAcentral also lists the same sequence under 11 other names.
GGGGCUGUGGCGCAGCUGGUAGCGCACCUCGUUCGCAACGAGGGGGUCAGGGGUUCGAGUCCCCUCAGCUCCACCA